UACGAAGGGGGCUAGCGUUGCUCGGAAUUACUGGGCGUAAAGCGUGCGUAGUCGGUUCUUUAAGCCGGGCGUGAAAGCCCCGGGCUCAACCUGGGAAUUGCGUUCGAUACUGGAUAGCUAGAGUUCGGCAGAGGGAAGCGGAAUUCCUGGUGUAGCGGUGAAAUGCGCAGAUAUCAGGAGGAACACCGGUGGCGAAGGCGGUUCUCUGGGCAUUACCUGACGCUGAGGAGCGAAAGUGUGGGGAGCGAACAGG
This 253-nucleotide ribosomal RNA is filed under the name uncultured bacterium. Its description in RNAcentral is "partial 16S ribosomal RNA". It matches the Rfam family "Bacterial small subunit ribosomal RNA", at positions 524 to 776 of the family's 1533-position model. The record is from RNAcentral.